RNAcentral lists this ribosomal RNA (633 nucleotides) under Entoloma aff. minutum LIP PAM 00072307. Its description in RNAcentral is "eukaryotic LSU rRNA". The stretch from base 237 to 390 matches the Rfam family "5.8S ribosomal RNA". Lineage: Eukaryota; Fungi; Basidiomycota; Agaricomycetes; Agaricales; Entolomataceae. The record is from RNAcentral.
CAUUAUUGAAUAAACUUGGUUAGGUUGUUGCUGGCUCUUAGGAGCAUGUGCACGCUUACUCCAUUUUUAACCACCUGUGCACCUUGCGUAGAUCUGAAAUAUCUCGAGGAAACUCGGUUUGAGAAUUGCUGUGCGACAGCCAGCUCUUCUUGUAUUCAGGUCUAUGUUUCUACAUAUACCCCACAUGAAUGUAUUCGCAUGUUGUAAUCGGCCUUUGUGCCUUUAAAAACAAAUACAACUUUCAACAACGGAUCUCUUGGCUCUCGCAUCGAUGAAGAACGCAGCGAAAUGCGAUAAGUAAUGUGAAUUGCAGAAUUCAGUGAAUCAUCGAAUCUUUGAACGCACCUUGCGCUCCUUGGUAUUCCGAGGAGCAUGCCUGUUUGAGUGUCAUGAAUUUCUCAACCUUUCUAGCUUUUUCAGCUGGUUAGGCUUGGAUCUUGGAAGUUGCUGGCUUCUCACGAAUCAGCUCUUCUUAAAUAUAUUAGCAAAGACCUUUGCUGACCAUCUUUGGUAUGAUAAUUAUCUAUAUCAUUGAUAACCAGCUUCCUUUAUGGAGAGGUUUUGCUUCUAAUAGUCGUUUGACAACUUGACAAUUUGACCUCAAAUCAGGUAGGACUACCCGCUGAACUUAAG